Molecule: ribosomal RNA, 441 nt
Filed under: uncultured bacterium
Lineage: Bacteria
Description: partial 16S ribosomal RNA
Rfam family: Bacterial small subunit ribosomal RNA
Source: RNAcentral
CCUACGGGAGACUGCAGUGGGGAAUAUUGCACAAUGGGGGAAACCCUGAUGCAGCAACGCCGCGUGAGUGAAGAAGUAUUUCGGUAUGUAAAGCUCUAUCAGCAGGGAAGAAGAAAGACGGUACCUGACUAAGAAGCCCCGGCUAACUACGUGCCAGCAGCCGCGGUAAUACGUAGGGGGCAAGCGUUAUCCGGAUUUACUGGGUGUAAAGGGAGCGUAGACGGCAGUGCAAGUCUGAAGUGAAAGCCCGGGGCUCAACCGCCGAACUGCUUUGGAAACUGUAUAGCUGGAGUCCUGGAGAGGCAAGCGGAAUUCCUAGUGUAGCGGUGAAAUGCGUAGAUAUUAGGAGGAACACCAGUGGCGAAGGCGGCCUGCUGGACAGAAACUGACGUUGAGGCUCGAAAGCGUGGGGAGCAAACAGGAUUAGAUACCCGGGUAGUC